UCAGGACGAACGCUGGCGGCGUGCCUAAUACAUGCAAGUCGAGCGGACUUAAAAAGCUUGCUUUUUAAGUUAGCGGCGGACGGGUGAGUAACACGUGGGCAACCUGCCUGUAAGACUGGGAUAACUUCGGGAAACCGGAGCUAAUACCGGAUAAUCCUUUCCUACUCAUGUAGGAAAGCUGAAAGACGGUUUACGCUGUCACUUACAGAUGGGCCCGCGGCGCAUUAGCUAGUUGGUGAGGUAACGGCUCACCAAGGCGACGAUGCGUAGCCGACCUGAGAGGGUGAUCGGCCACACUGGGACUGAGACACGGCCCAGACUCCUACGGGAGGCAGCAGUAGGGAAUCUUCCGCAAUGGACGAAAGUCUGACGGAGCAACGCCGCGUGAGUGAUGAAGGUUUUCGGAUCGUAAAACUCUGUUGUUAGGGAAGAACAAGUACGAGAGUAACUGCUCGUACCUUGACGGUACCUAACCAGAAAGCCACGGCUAACUACGUGCCAGCAGCCGCGGUAAUACGUAGGUGGCAAGCGUUGUCCGGAAUUAUUGGGCGUAAAGCGCGCGCAGGCGGUCCUUUAAGUCUGAUGUGAAAGCCCACGGCUCAACCGUGGAGGGUCAUUGGAAACUGGGGGACUUGAGUGCAGAAGAGAAGAGUGGAAUUCCACGUGUAGCGGUGAAAUGCGUAGAGAUGUGGAGGAACACCAGUGGCGAAGGCGACUCUUUGGUCUGUAACUGACGCUGAGGCGCGAAAGCGUGGGGAGCAAACAGGAUUAGAUACCCUGGUAGUCCACGCCGUAAACGAUGAGUGCUAAGUGUUAGAGGGUUUCCGCCCUUUAGUGCUGCAGCAAACGCA
Molecule: ribosomal RNA, 851 nt
Filed under: Niallia nealsonii
Lineage: Bacteria; Bacillati; Bacillota; Bacilli; Caryophanales; Bacillaceae
Description: bacterial SSU rRNA
Rfam family: Bacterial small subunit ribosomal RNA
Source: RNAcentral